UACUUCUAGGGUCAAAUAGGACAGAGAACUGUAAUUGGUUGGUGGAUUCUCUAUUUAGUGAGUUUAAGUGUGCGUGACCUUUUGUCCUGUCACUUUUCAUGCCAGACAGCUGUAAAUUUCAAAUGUAAAAACAAUUAUGACUGUAAACAGUGAAUUACUAACUUUUUAUUUAAGUCCUAUAAUAUUUCCAACUAUGUUUUGAGAUAACGUUGGCCAAUCCUUUUCUCCCAUCGAGUGGUUGAAUGUUUUUAUACUACAGUAUACUGUAUACUGUACAUAAUACACAGUGUUUCGCUCUGAGACUGUGUCCUGUAAAUUGUGUAAGUGUAUCUUAAAUUAUGUGCAACCAAUAUGUUCUCUAACAACCUUUCUGUGCUUUAGACUCUAGUCAUGCAUUUUUGUGCCAAUGUGCCAUUAUUAUAACAUUAUUGUGAGUAGAAAUUAAAACAUUUGUCAAAUAUGCCAUUUCGAUGCUAUUUGGUAGCAAAACAUGAGAGCCUCAUUUAUCAUUCUGUGUAUUUAUGUUAUUUAUGUUUAUUUUAAUAUUGUAAUAUUACUGUAUUCUUGUAUUUGUAUUAUUUAUAUGUUGUGGUAGAGUAUAAUAAUAUGUUGUUAUGUACUGUUUUAUUUUGUAUGUAAUUGCGUAAUCGUGAUUGGAUCCCAGGAAGAGUAUUUAAUAUGGACCUGGAAUAAAUACAAAUAGAAACGUUAUGUAAUAUAACACGAAAUUCAGAUUGCGCAAUGUUGUAAUUUGUUCAACUCCAAUGUUUCGUUACAGGAAAUUAGUAACCUUCCUACAGUGGUUCCUCCUUUACAAAUUGCGAGUUUACACCGCUGGAUAUAGAGCUAUAAAAAACACACAUUCGUUUUCAGUCUGUAUCAGCAUGGGCAACGUGUACAUUGAACAGCCAAAACAUGACUCCCACCCUAUAUUCAAGAGCAUGCUGAUUUGAGCCCAACCCUGCUGUGAAUCUCUUCCGGGAGGAAAUCACAAGUGUAUCCCAGUCCAACCCCACAGAUUGUGACGUCAGCCUGGCUCAGACUGCGAUGGAGGAUUCUGGCCAACAGGGGUGACCUUGCCACACACCGAGGGAGAACGAAGCGCCGUUACUCAGAGGAGCAAGUUAGGAGGAGUCAGAGAGAAGCUCCAAUCAGAGCUGAGAGGGAGAUACACGUCAUUGUGUGAUGGAACCCCAGCAGGACAAGAGGUGCGGAGCCACUCCCUCACACACUCCUAUGUGGAACUCCUCAUCACCGAGGGCAACGUCCAAUGGCACAACGACAGGCAUGCUGCCACGCGACCCGUAAGACCACCAUCAGAUAUGCCCACUGCUAAUGAGGAAGUAACGAUCAAGCUUGACGAUAUCUUCAAACCACCACUAUCUCCAGAUCGCCCUCAAGUAAAAACCGUCCUGACGAAGGGACCCGCAGGCUCAGGGAAGACAGCGAGUGUCCAGAAGUUUGUUUUGAACUGGGCCGAGGACAGAGCCAAUCAGGAUGUUGACUUCUUGUUUGUCUUUCCCUUCAGUGAACUCAAUUGGCUGAUAGGACGGAGCUUCAGUCUGAGUGGCCUCAUCAGCCACUUCUACUCGUCCAUGACAUCGGAGAGCGAGAACCCCGGGCUGGAUCUGAGUCGGUCUAAGGUGGUCUUCAUCUUGGACGGUUUGGACCAAUUUAAC
Molecule: long non-coding RNA, 1679 nt
Organism: Oncorhynchus masou masou (cherry salmon)
Lineage: Eukaryota; Metazoa; Chordata; Actinopteri; Salmoniformes; Salmonidae
Exons: 3
Source: RefSeq, a predicted model, not a curated record